CCUACGGGGGGCAGCAGUGGGGAAUAUUGCACAAUGGGCGCGAGCCUGAUGCAGCCAUGCCGCGUGUGUGAAGAAGGCCUUCGGGUUGUAAAGCACUUUCAGCGGGGAGGAAGGCGGUGAGGUUAAUAACCUCAUCGAUUGACGUUACCCGCAGAGGAAGCACCGGCUAACUCCGUGCCAGCAGCCGCGGUAAUACGGAGGGUGCAAGCGUUAAUCGGAAUUACUGGGCGUAAAGCGCACGCAGGCGGUCUGUCAAGUCGGAUGUGAAAUCCCCGGGCUCAACCUGGGAACUGCAUUCGAAACUGGCAGGCUAGAGGCUUGUAGAGGGGGGUAGAAUUCCAGGGGUAGCGGUGAAAUGCGUAGGGAUCUGGAGGAAUACCGGUGGCGAAGGCGGCCCCCUGGACAAAGACUGACGCUCAGGUGCGAAAGCGUGGGGAGCAAACAGGAUUAGAUACCCGGGUAGUC
RNAcentral lists this ribosomal RNA (465 nucleotides) under uncultured Klebsiella sp. RNAcentral's name for it is "bacterial SSU rRNA". It matches the Rfam family "Bacterial small subunit ribosomal RNA", at positions 338 to 795 of the family's 1533-position model. Lineage: Bacteria; Pseudomonadati; Pseudomonadota; Gammaproteobacteria; Enterobacterales; Enterobacteriaceae. The record is from RNAcentral.